Non-coding RNA from Desulfobacterales bacterium S5133MH4, 225 nucleotides. Lineage: Bacteria; Pseudomonadati; Thermodesulfobacteriota; Desulfobacteria; Desulfobacterales. The record is from Rfam.
AAAGAGCCCUACAUAAAAGGAGGAGUCGCUCCAUUAUGGCCCCGAGUCAUGUGCGGGUAGCCGCGAGGUUGCACGUGAAGUAGUUGACAGGGGAAGCGUAGGCCAGCCAUUGAGCUCCGAAAUCACCUAUUCUGGGGUGCCGACCGCGUUGGAUGAUCGGGAAGGCAAAACGGUGUAUGACGUUAAACGACGAGUCAUGAACCGGCCCCACGGAGUCGAAGACCC